This 1328-nucleotide long non-coding RNA is filed under the name Volvox carteri. RNAcentral describes it as "long non-coding RNA (VCAR_LNC001465)". Lineage: Eukaryota; Viridiplantae; Chlorophyta; Chlorophyceae; Chlamydomonadales; Volvocaceae. The record is from RNAcentral.
AGCCAAAUAAAAAUUACAAGUUACAAGUUCCCCACAAGUGCGGAGAUGUCCGUAAAAGCCGGGGGGCCAUGGACGAAAUUAAAGCACCUUGGAAUGGUCAUUUUCAAUCGCAAAGGAAGCCGCACCAUGCAACCCGAAAUGAUUACCGUCGCCCACACACCGCACCGACUGGCAUCCCUUUUUCUGCUCGUGUACGACUCGGUUAUAUCCCGUACAUCAGCUCACCCAUGCGCCCAAUAUGUGCAUGUGCAUGUGCGUGUUGGAGCUUUUGCGUUGCGUACAUGUACCCCGCCGCCCCCUUGCCGCCUGCACAACCCCGGAACGUAUGUGUGCUCUGUCGUGGCGUCAGGUCCAAGCUGACCACCAUCAUGGUGGCCGGAUUGUUGCCGGCGCUGGGAGCCGGCUUCCUUAUCUCCUUCAUCCGCCUGCGAUUCAGCGUCAAGCACGCGAUUCGGUCGUUCUGGUAAGGAUGGACACCCCGGAGAAGGCAAUGAAGCAAAGGGGGGCCCGGGGGGGAAGGCGCAGGGCACGUAGCUGCAAUAUCAUCGAGCCGUCAGCGCAUGUUGCCUAUGCCUCUCGCGCCCGCCCCUGCCCUUAGUAUUCUUCAACUGCGACAUCACCAGAGGGUAUUGGAAGAAAUUGACGUCUAUACAGUGCAUGCGUGUGCAUGGCAUGCAUUCCAGAGGCAUGGAGCAUCGCACGCCUGCUACUUCUAGCGCUUCUGGCACAUUGGACGUGCGUCGCGUUGGUGCCGGAAAAGAUCUGCCACGUGCGGAGUUUCGUCAGUGCAUCGUUUUACAGCUGCUUGGCCUGUGCAGCUCCCAUCGCGCCGCGUUACUGCGCCGCUCUGCCGCUGCUGCUGCCGCUGCUGCUGCUGCUGCUGCUGCUGCUGCCAUAACUUCUCCGGGGUGUACCCCCUGCACGCGUUUACCCCUCCCCACCCCCCCCCGCACAGUCACAUCGACCCGAACAAGUCCCGUCUGAAGGACAUCUACCGCUUCACGGACGCCAGGGAGGUGGAGAUUGUGUCGCGCGUGUGUCGCAAGUGGACAGAGGACGACGUGCUGGAUUCGGAUGCGGUGAAGCUGUCGGAGACCAUCAUCAAGGUGCGUGGUGUGGAUCGCCACCUACUACUACCUACUCGCCUGUCGAGGAAUUGAAAUGACGCGUCUUUCCUGCACCGGGCUGCGAAGCAUUAAGCGUUACGCCCUAUUUGAAAAUCAUUGCUGAAUCUUUGGGGGCGGCUCUUUAGUAUGAUCAUGUUAGCUUGCUAGGGGCGUGUAUAUGCAUCCCUGUCAAUCCUUACGAGUACGCUUUGAGCACACAUG